This 520-nucleotide ribosomal RNA is filed under the name uncultured Glomus. RNAcentral's name for it is "SSU rRNA". It matches the Rfam family "Eukaryotic small subunit ribosomal RNA", at positions 569 to 1089 of the family's 1831-position model. The record is from RNAcentral. Lineage: Eukaryota; Fungi; Glomeromycota; Glomeromycetes; Glomerales; Glomeraceae.
AGCAGCCGCGGUAAUUCCAGCUCCAAUAGCGUAUAUUAAAGUUGUUGCAGUUAAAAAGCUCGUAGUUGAAUUUCGGGAUCAGUACGCCGGUCGUGCCUCCGGUAUGUACUGGUGUUACUGGUUCCUACCUUCUGACGAACCGUCAUGUCAUUAAUUUGGUGUGGCGGGGAAUCAGGACUGUUACUUUAGAAAAAAUUAGAGUGUUUAAAGCAGGCUCGCGCUUGAAUACAUUAGCAUGGAAUAAUGAAAUAGGACGUUCGAUCCUAUUUUGUUGGUUUCUAGGAUUGACGUAAUGAUUAAUAGGGAUAGGUUGGGGGCAUUAGUAUUCAAUUGUCAGAGGUGAAAUUCUUGGUAUUUAUUGAAGACUAACUACCGCGAAAGCAUUUGCCAAGGAUGUUUUCAUUAAUCAAGAACGAAAGUUAGGGGAUCGAAGACGAUCAGAUACCGUCGUAGUCUUAACCAUAAACUAUGCCGACUAGGGAUCGGAUGAUGUUAUUUUUAAUGACUCAUUCGGCGCCUU